UACGUAGGGACCGAGCGUUGUCCGGAAUCAUUGGGCGUAAAGCGCGCGUAGGCGGCCAUUUAAGUCCUGCGUGAAAUCUUGCGGCUCAACCGCAAGCGGUCGUGGGAAACUGGGUGGCUAGAGUGCGGGAGAGGAGAGUGGAAUUCCUGGUGUAGCGGUGGAAUGCGCAGAUAUCAGGAAGAACACCCGUGGCGAAGGCGGCUCUCUGGAACGCAACUGACGCUGAGACGCGAAAGCGUGGGGAGCAAACAGG
This 253-nucleotide ribosomal RNA is filed under the name uncultured bacterium. RNAcentral describes it as "partial 16S ribosomal RNA". It matches the Rfam family "Bacterial small subunit ribosomal RNA", at positions 524 to 776 of the family's 1533-position model. The record is from RNAcentral.